This 1127-nucleotide ribosomal RNA is filed under the name Glycomyces sp. I06A-02658. RNAcentral describes it as "bacterial SSU rRNA". It matches the Rfam family "Bacterial small subunit ribosomal RNA", at positions 36 to 1161 of the family's 1533-position model. The record is from RNAcentral. Lineage: Bacteria; Bacillati; Actinomycetota; Actinomycetes; Glycomycetales; Glycomycetaceae.
CCGGGGCGGGGUGCUUCCACAUGCAGUCGAACGGAAAGGCCCGCUUGCGGGUACUCGAGUGGCGAACGGGUGAGUAACACGUGGGUAACCUGCCCCCAUCUCUGGGAUAACCGUUGGAAACGGCGGCUAAUACCGGAUACGACCUUCUGCCGCAUGGUGGAAGGUGGAAAGUUUUUGCGGUUGGGGAGGGGCCCGCGGCCUAUCAGCUGGUUGGUGGGGUGAUGGCCUACCAAGGCGGUGACGGGUAGCCGGCCUGAGAGGGCGGUCGGUCACAUUGGGACUGAGAUACGGCCCAGACUCCUACGGGAGGCAGCAGUGGGGAAUUUUGCACAAUGGGCGCAAGCCUGAUGCAGCGACGCCGCGUGAGGGAUGACGGCUUUCGGGUUGUAAACCUCUUUUAUCCACCACGAAGGCGGUGUAUUCGCACCGUUGACGGUAGUGGUUGAAUAAGCGCCGGCUAACUACGUGCCAGCAGCCGCGGUAAGACGUAGGGCGCGAGCGUUGUCCGGAUUUAUUGGGCGUAAAGGGCUCGUAGGCGGCCCGCUGCGUCUGCCGUGAAAGGCCUCGGCUUAACCGGGGUUUUGCGGUGGAUACGGGCGGGCUUGAGGCAAGUAGGGGAAACUGGAAUUCUACGUGUAGCGGUGAAAUGCGCAGAUAUGUGGAGGAACACCGGUGGCGAAGGCGGGUUUCUGGGCUUGUUCUGACGCUGAGGAGCGAAAGCGUGGGGAGCGAACAGGAUUAGAUACCCUGGUAGUCCAUGCUGUAAACGGUGGGCGCUAGGUGUGGGGCCACGUUGGUUGGUUCUGUGCCGUAGCUAACGCAUUAAGCGCCCCGCCUGGGGAGUACGGCCGCAAGGCUAAAACUCAAAGGAAUUGACGGGGGCCCGCACAAGCGGCGGAGCAUGCGGAUUAAUUCGAUGCAACGCGAAGAACCUUACCUGGGUUUGACAUCACCCGGAAACCCCAGAGAUGGGGGCCUCUUCGGACUGGGUGACAGGUGUGCAUGGCUGUCGUCAGCUCGUGUCGUGAGAUGGUUGGGUUAAGUCCCGCAACGAGCGCAACCCUUAUCCCGGGGGUGAGUCGUAACAGGUAGCCGUAGGGACCUGCGUGAAACACACCUUCUAUUUA